UGAUUAGUAGAUGGAACUCUGGGCUUACAUGGCGUGGAGUUUAAUGUCGACGGGACAACCUGUAAACAUGAUACUUCACUAGUGUAAUUUCUUAUUAAUGUGAUACUACAGGCUGUAUGCAUUCAGAAAAAGAGGCAAGAAAAAUUGUAACAUUCUAAUGCAGACAUACUUGUUGGGAUGUAAUAAUGCUGCUCUUAAGGUGGGGAUGGGUCAUUCAAAUGACGGCAAUAUCCAUUGUUAUCAAUCCGUUGCAAGACUUACUAAGUUAUAUGGUGAUGAUUCAAAUUGAGAGAAAGGACUAGGUGUCCCACCUUUCCAUAAGGCUAGAACAAGUGUUUUGUCACUUUCUGUGAGUGUAGGAUUGGUCUGAGUAUAAGCACCACCAAGGGUUUCAGUGUGGGAGAUGAGAACCAUCCAUGCUAUUCAUAUAAACCUUUCUUAAGAGGAAAAUUUCAAAGUAACAUGAAUAGACUGAUUAAUCCAACCCAACUUUUGGUAAGCAGUACCCAAUUCAUGUGGGGUAUAUUUCAUUAGCUUCUGUCCAAUGGGUAAAUAUUCCCUCAGAGUCGAAUAUUGGUUUGGAAAAAUAGUCUACUUUUGCUGAGCUCUCCCAACAGAGCUAUCAACAAUUGGCAAUUAGGAUGGGCUUUUGGGGCGUACCUUAUCUAACAAACUUUUGAUGGGACUGUUGGAGACUGAGCAGAAGCAGAGCAAGAUGGUGGGUGUUGGCUUGGAGGGCCUCCCAACCACCCUCAUUAACGAAAUAAUAGUGAAGCUGGACACGGAGACACUCUGCUCUGUAGCUUGCGUCUCCCGAGCUCUUCGCUUCGCCGUCUCUGAAGCUCUUCCUCUUUCUUCUUCUCUUGAUCUCUCUGCAUUUUCCCCAGAUGCCCAGACCCUGAAUCACCUUGUUUCCCGGUGCAAAGGCCUCAAGAUUCUCACCCUUGAUUGCCUCCGCCUGGAUGAUUCUUCCAUCACCAUUUUUCUUGGUCCACAUAUCCAGGAAUUGAAUUUGUUGAGAUGUUCCUUGCUGUCAUAUCAACUUCUUCGUUCCAUUGGCGAAAGCUUGCCCAAUUUAAGGUUGCUCACACUAGAACUGUCAUACUGGGACUUGCCUGAAGUGUUCAACAGGAAUCUUGUACAAAUGCUUACGGGUUGCUCUUACUUGGAGUCUCUAUGUCUAAAGAUUCGAGGGGCAGAAUUUGAUGCCACUUUUUUCCGGUCCAUUCAACAUUUCCUGCCCAAAACUGUUAAAAUCUUGAAGUUGCAGCCAGUGCUUGAACAAGAUGUGAUUCGUUUUAUACAUGAGCUCAGAGUUAACCGGAAUAUUUUGGAUACAGCUGAAUUUGGAAUUCCCUUCUCUCCAGCAUCCCCUGGUUUCAAAUUGCAGUCCUUAUCUCUUGUCUUAGAUAUCAUAUCCGAUGAACUUAUUAGUUCCAUCACCGACUCUCUUCCGUUUCUGAUUGAGCUUCAUCUUGAAGAUAGACCAAGCAAAGAACCAUCACCAUUCCAUGAUUUGACUAACAGUGGGCUUCAGUCUUUGAGGUUUUGUCGUCAUUUAACUGACAUCUCUCUUAUACGAAGUAGACACAACCUCCCAGUAUAUUUCAAAAGGAUAAAUGAUAUGGGCAUGUUUCUCCUUUCUGAGGGCUGCAGGCUCCUAGAGUCGGUGAGACUUGGUGGGUUUUGUAGAGUUAGUGAUGCUGGUUUUGCAUCAAUUCUGCACUCUUGUUGGCACCUAAAAAAAUUUGAAGUUCGUAAUGCCUUACUUCUGUCUGAUCUGGCCUUCCAUGAUCUCACUGGAGCCCCCUGUUCCCUGGUUGAGGUGAAAUUGUCAUCCUGUAAUCUUAUAACUAGUGAAACCGUUCAUAAAAUGGCCUCUUCCAGAAGGUUGGAGGUGCUUGACCUCUUUGGCUGCAAGAGCAUAGCUGACUCAUCUCUCAGCUCCAUUACAUGUCUUAAUAAACUAACUACAUUGAAUCUUGGAGGUGCUGAUGUUACAGACAGAGGUUUAUCUGUUCUCAGUCAGGGGUAUUCACCCAUUUCACAUUUGUGCCUUCGAGGCUGUAAGAGGGUAACUGACAAAGGGGUUUCUCUUUUGUUUCAUGGCUGUGGAGUGAUUAGUAAAACAUUGACAGCACUGGAUUUAGGCCACAUGCCAGGGAUAUCAGAUAAAGCCAUUCUCACAAUUGCUGCAGUUGGUACAGGGAUUACUGAAUUGUGCAUUAGGUAUUGUUUCUAUGUGACUGAUUCUUCAGUGGAAGCAUUGGCCACAAAAAGAAGGCUUCAGGAUGGAAGGAAACCACUUCGGAAGCUAGAUCUCUUUCACUGCACUGGGUUGUCUGUUAAAUCAUUAGAGUCAUUGAAGAGGCCUUUCUUUCAAGCUCUAAAGUGGAUUGGUCUUGGACGCACUUGUUUGAGUGGUAAAGCAAAUGAAAUCUUGAAUGAACGCCCCUGGCUGACUCUCUGUUUGGAUGGCUGUGAAAUGGGAUGUCAUGAUGGGUGGCACUUCCAUAGACCAGAGACCAGAGACCAUUAAAGUUGGAUCUUGAUCAUUUUUAAGUGCUCGCCAGCUUCCUUAACCAGGGUCUAGAUAUUCAUGGGCUGUACUGAUGAACCUUAAACUAGGUUCUCUAUGUGGUCUAAGACUACCUUAGAGGAGCCAAUCGAGAUUGAAACUGACAGUACUUCUGCUAGUACUCUUCAGAAAGUUCCUUGUCAUCUAAGCUUCCCCUAUGGGAUGGCAAUUAAGAUGGAGACAAACUGACCAAUUCUACUUCUGCCAGUGUUCCCAAGACUUCUCUCUGACCCCAGAAGCUCACCCCUACAAGGAGGCAAUGAUGAUAGAUACUGCUGUCGUUUCACCCAGUUUUAGCAAUGGUCAACAGCCAAGUAUCAAUUUGUUUUCCUUUUCAGAGUUUUCUCAGCAAGCAAGCAAAGGGUUAAAAUAGUUUUUGUCAGGGAUUUUGUUUUUUUCCCUUGGAUUCUUGUUGGGUCAUUUUCAUCCCUUUAAGAAGAGAUGUUUCAAGAUGUUUCAAGGGCUUUUUCGGAUGGAUAGAGAUGGUGAAGACCAUGUUUCUAUGGUUUGAGGAAAGGCAAGGGUUGUUUUCCAGAUUAGAAUCUUAAAUGCUACAUUAUUUCAUAUAUUGGGCACCUUGUUCUUGCGGUAGAAAAUUAUUUCCAGAGGCA
Vitis vinifera (wine grape) is the source of this 3189-nucleotide RNA transcript. It is a transcript of the gene named F-box protein At-B, with no coding region annotated. The record is from RefSeq and is a predicted model, not a curated record. The transcript has 6 exons. Lineage: Eukaryota; Viridiplantae; Streptophyta; Magnoliopsida; Vitales; Vitaceae.